This is a non-coding RNA of Meloidogyne enterolobii, 101 nucleotides long. NCBI's taxonomy places the organism in Eukaryota, Metazoa, Nematoda, Chromadorea, Rhabditida, Meloidogynidae. The record is from the annotation of a GenBank genome assembly.
GCCCCAAUAGCUCACUGGUAGAGCUCCUGUAUAUGUAUGGUGAGCGAAAGCUCCUAUCAAUAACUGUCAGGAGGUUGCAGGUUCAAUCCUGCUCGGUGGCU